UACAGAGGGGGCAAGCGUUGUUCGGAAUUACUGGGCGUAAAGGGCGCGUAGGCGGCCGCCUAAGUCAGACGUGAAAUCCCUCGGCUCAACCGGGGAACUGCGUCUGAUACUGGGUGGCUUGAAUCCGGGAGAGGGAUGCGGAAUUCCAGGUGUAGCGGUGAAAUGCGUAGAGAUGUGGAGGAACACCGAUGGCGAAGGCAGCCCCCUGGGUCAACACUGACGCUCAGGCACGAAAGCGUGGGGAGCAAACAGG
This 253-nucleotide ribosomal RNA is filed under the name uncultured bacterium. RNAcentral describes it as "partial 16S ribosomal RNA". It matches the Rfam family "Bacterial small subunit ribosomal RNA", at positions 524 to 776 of the family's 1533-position model. The record is from RNAcentral.